Molecule: long non-coding RNA, 3357 nt
Organism: Solanum pennellii
Lineage: Eukaryota; Viridiplantae; Streptophyta; Magnoliopsida; Solanales; Solanaceae
Exons: 2
Source: RefSeq, a predicted model, not a curated record
UCCAUCAGACCUAAUAUCCGUAAUUUUCAACCCAUAAUCUUGCACACGAACGAUUCAUACUGUAACAAGAGGCAUCCAUGUCUUGAUUCAGAGAGAAAAUCCAACAAUAGUAUUUGAAAGAUGACCUUGGUUGACAUAAUCUUCAAUUAUGGUGGAGAAUGGAUUAAACACCAAAUGUCAUGUAUUUAACUAAAUUAAUGGAUACUUGGACAGAGUAUGAUCCCGAUAUCCUUUCCUUUGUUGAUAUAGUAAAUGAGUACACUAGUAGGUUUGGAUAACAACUUAUUGUUACAGUUCCCUCUGGUAACUAUGAUGAGGUAGAAGACGAUAAUGGUAAAGACAGUAAUUAUACUUAGUGUCUGAAGAAUUUAAGUUCCUUAACAUAUAUACGGUAGAUGAAGGUGAGGAAUUAAUAAAAGUUCAUCAAAUUUCCCUGCAUUCUGAAUCAUAUGUUGCAACAACUGAAGUUGAAACUGACUGUGAAAGUGAUGAUAAUCAUGUUGAGGUAGAGUAUUAUUCUGAUCACUUGGAUAGGAUUGCCUUUAAAAAAAUAGAAUCAUUGAUGAAUCACUGCUAGAUUACAAGGACUUAUGCAUAGGUAUGAGCUUCAAAGAUAUACCCGAAUAUAGAUUAUGCAUUAACUUGUAUGCUCUUGUAAACAAAAGAAACUUGAAGCACUUUAAAAGCGAUCCAUCAAGGUUGAGGUAUGAGUGUGUCGCCGGAUGUCAUUCAUUACUAAUUUCAGGAGAUAAAUACCUGCCAGGGGUUAGAGUAAAAACCCUGAAAAACACGAAUGAUUUUAAUGAAGUGUUUGACAAUAGAAGUGUUGAUCAUCUUACAAUAGCAUAUUAUUUCAAGUCUAAAUUGCAAAAUGACCCAACUUAUAGGAUCAAGGUUUUGAGGGAUGAUUUAAAAGAAAGAUUUGAUGUCAAUGUUAGUCAUGGUAAAUGCAAUCGAGCAAAGCUAUUGAUUUUGGAAAAACAUGAAGGGAGCUUUAUAAAUGAUUAUAAUAGACUUGAGACUUAUGCAAAUGAGCUAUGGUCUAGUAAUCUAGGAAGUGAUACAAUUAUAAAUCUAUCGAAGGAUGCACUUUCCAAUGGUAAGCAAAGACUCUUGAGGAUGUUCAUUUGCUCUCAUGCACUUAAAAUGGGUUUUAAGAAUGGGUUAAGACCCUUUAUUAUCAUGGAUGGAACCCUUUUAAAAGGGAAAGCCAAGGGCCAAUUGUUAACUGCUGUUGGUUAAGAUUGUCAGGGUCAUAGUUACGUUAUCGAUUGGCCAGUUGUUGUCAAAGAAACAAAAAGAACAUGGAAUUGGUUCUCAGGCCAUCUUAAAAUGUCAUUGGAUCUCAAGGAUGCGGCUGGAGGAAUAACAUUCAUUUCAGACAUGCAGAAGGUAACAUAUUUAUAUUCUUUUUUUUUUAGUUAAUUCAUUUUUACAUUAACUUUUUAGUUCAGUUCAGAAGCUUCAUCACUGUACAACUCUUUCAUUUUAAUUUUGUCUAAAACUAGAAAUUGAAGAAUUGUCCAGUUCUUAUAUACAAUUCUGAUCAGAAGUAAAAUGAAAGCACUAGACAGGUUUGUAUUCUUUUUGUUAAUUCUUAUGUUAUGGGGAUUACUUAAAGCAAUGGAGGACGUGUUUCCUUAAUCACAUAACAUAUUUUGUGCGGAACAUGUUGAACCAAAUUGGUGCAAAACAUGGAAGUCUGAGGAAUUGCAGAAGGUAUUUUGGUGGUGUUCAUGGACCACAUAUGAGGAAGAUUUCAGAGAAAACUCAAUAUGAUUGGUUCUUUAGAUAAAAUAGCAGAUAAGGAUUUACUGAAAUGUCCUUCCAAUGCUUGGUGUGGAACCUAUUUUUACAAUGUAUGCAAGAACUAUGAAGUGGUGAACAAUUUCACAGAAUUGGUGAAUAAAUGGUUUCUAGAAGGUAGAGGCAAACCAAUCAUCAAAAUGCUCGAAGAAAUAAGAACAAGGUCAUGAAUCAAUUGAGAAAAAUAGAAGAUGAAGUAAGAUUUUGGGCAACUGAGUUUAGCCCAAAGAGUAUGCAGUUGUUUAAUGAGUACAUGAAAAUUGCUCAAAAUGCAAGGUUAUUUUCAAUGGUGAUUACGGAUAUGAGAUCACAGAAGGUUGCGAUAGGCACACUGUAAGUAUGAUUUUGAAGAGAUGCACAUGUAGGCAAUGGGAUCUAAAUGGAAUUCCAUGCCCACAUGCAAUUUAAACAAUGUUGUACAACUAGUUACACCCUUUGAGUGAAAUGAGUUGGUGGAAUAGCAAAGAGGCAUUCCUGUAGACACAAAUUGCAACCUGUUAGAGGUGAAAAUGUUUGGAAAGUGGAUCCACACCAAGCAAUGGAAUCACCUGAAACUAGUCAAGAUGGUUGGCAGACCCAAAACUAAAAGGGUUAGAAAAAAAGAUGAAGCAAUUAAGAGGCAAGGCGAGUGGUCAAGUUCAAGAAAGGGAAGAGUUAUGACAUGCAACAAUUGUGGAGAGCCAAACCACAAUAGUAUAGGAUGCAAAAAGAUAAAAUAUCUUCAAUUCUAAUAACAUCUUUUUUUCCCAUGAAGUUUGAUUUCUAACUUGUAUUUUUUACAUACAAUAGCUUGUCAAUACAACACUAAUGAAAAAGAGCAGGGAAUUGAAAGGUGAAGAUGAAGAGAUAAACCUUACAGCAACCUAAUCAACCUAAGAAAGACAUGUUGUUAACUUCAUGUCUACACUAAUAUUAAGGUAGCAUGUAACACAAUUUUCAGGUCCAAGACCAAGCAUUCCAAGUCAUACGCCAGAUUUUGAGUUAUUUAAAACUUCAAAACAAAUAUCAAGCAAAGAAGAUGAUACUUCAUUAAAACAUAAUGUUCAUCCAGAUUUGACAAUAAACUUUCCAAAUAAUGCCUAUGGUAGUGUCAGAAAGCACAAUAUUUCGUGCUAGGAAACAAGGACCAAUUCCUUCAGGAAUUAGGAUUAUUAACUUUGUUGGUGAUCACAAUGGAGUGAGUGUUCCUUCAAAUCUUCCCUACUUACCAACCAACCUCACAUGGAAGGGAAAAGCUUCUAUAACUCAAAGUCAAUUGAAGAUGCAAAAUAGGCUAAAAAAUUAUGAAAUUGAAGCCAAGAAAAAGGCAACAAUGAUCUAUUUGGUUGAAAAAUCUUUUUAUUAUCUUUCAUGGGUUUUGAAUUACUGUUUAUGACAAUACAUUUUAGUUAAUAUCUUUUCAGUUUACUCUUUUUUGUGGUGAACAUUGAACAUGAAUGUCACAUUAUGCAACUUUAUACUAGUUAUGAUGUAAUUGUCCUGUUGUUGCUGAAAACAAUGGUUAAUUGUAAAAUAUUGCCAUGCUGGAAUGAUGUUAAAUCUGCAACUACA